UACGGAGGGUGCAAGCGUUAUCCGGAUUCACUGGGUUUAAAGGGUGCGUAGGCGGGCAGGUAAGUCAGUGGUGAAAUCCUGGAGCUUAACUCCAGAACUGCCAUUGAUACUGAAGAUCUUGAGUCCGGGAGAGGUGAGUGGAACUGCGAGUGUAGAGGUGAAAUUCGUAGAUAUUCGCAAGAACACCAGUGGCGAAGGCGGCUCACUGGCCCGGUACUGACGCUGAGGCACGAAAGCGUGGGGAGCAAACAGG
RNAcentral lists this ribosomal RNA (253 nucleotides) under uncultured bacterium. Its description in RNAcentral is "partial 16S ribosomal RNA". It matches the Rfam family "Bacterial small subunit ribosomal RNA", at positions 524 to 776 of the family's 1533-position model. The record is from RNAcentral.